GGGGAUUUGGCUCAGUGGUAGAGCGCUUGCCUAGCAAGCACAAGGCCCUGGGUUCGGUCCCCAGUUCCA
RNAcentral lists this transfer RNA (69 nucleotides) under Rattus norvegicus (Norway rat). It matches the Rfam family "tRNA". From Rfam's summary of the family: Transfer RNA (tRNA) molecules are approximately 80 nucleotides in length. Their secondary structure includes four short double-helical elements and three loops (D, anti-codon, and T loops). Further hydrogen bonds mediate the characteristic L-shaped molecular structure. tRNAs have two regions of fundamental functional importance: the anti-codon, which is responsible for specific mRNA codon recognition, and the 3' end, to which the tRNAs corresponding amino acid is attached (by aminoacyl-tRNA synthetases). tRNAs cope with the degeneracy of the genetic code in two manners: having more than one tRNA (with a specific anti-codon) for a particular amino acid; and 'wobble' base-pairing, i.e. permitting non-standard base-pairing at the 3rd anti-codon position. Lineage: Eukaryota; Metazoa; Chordata; Mammalia; Rodentia; Muridae. The record is from Rfam by way of RNAcentral.